This 200-nucleotide ribosomal RNA is filed under the name uncultured bacterium. Its description in RNAcentral is "partial 16S ribosomal RNA". It matches the Rfam family "Bacterial small subunit ribosomal RNA", at positions 131 to 334 of the family's 1533-position model. The record is from RNAcentral.
CGAUGGAGGGGGAUAACUGCUGGAAACGGUAGCUAAUACCGCAUAACGUCGCAAGACCAAAGAGGGGGACCUUCGGGCCUCUUGCCAUCGGAUGUGCCCAGAUGGGAUUAGCUAGUAGGUGGGGUAACGGCUCACCUAGGCGACGAUCCCUAGCUGGUCUGAGAGGAUGCCAGCCACACUGGAACUGAGACACGGUCCAG